UUUAAGUUGUUGCAGUUAAAAAGCUCGUAGUUGGAUUUUGGUUAAGAGGGCGCGGUCGGCCGUUUGGUCUGUACUGCGUUGUCUUGACUUCCUGAUGAGGACAUGCUCUUGGUUAACGCUGAGACAUGGAGUCAUCGUGGUUACUUUGAAAAAAUUAGAGUGUUCAAAGCGGGCUUACGCUUGAAUAUAUUAGCAUGGAAUAACACUAUAGGACUCCUGUCCUAUCUCGUUGGUCUCGGGAUGGGAGUAAUGAUUAAGAGGAACAGUUGGGGGCAUUCGUAUUUCAUUGUCAGAGGUGAAAUUCUUGGAUUUAUGAAAGACGAACUUCUGCGAAAGCAUUUGCCAAGGAUGUUUUCAUUAAUCAAGAACGAAAGUUGGGGGCUCGAAGAUGAUUAGAUACCAUCCUAGUCUCAACCAUAAACGAUGCCGACUAGGGAUUGGUGGAUGUUAAUUGAUGACUUCACCAGCACCUUAUGAGAAAUCAAAGUUUUUGGGUUCCGGGGGGAGUAUGGUCGCAAGGCUGAAACUUAAAGGAAUUGAC
RNAcentral lists this ribosomal RNA (541 nucleotides) under uncultured Chlorophyta. RNAcentral describes it as "SSU rRNA". It matches the Rfam family "Eukaryotic small subunit ribosomal RNA", at positions 604 to 1157 of the family's 1831-position model. Lineage: Eukaryota; Viridiplantae; Chlorophyta. The record is from RNAcentral.